AAUUUUCUCGAUCACAACCAAAGAACACACAGCCUCGCAGUAACCGAAUUUCGCCAUUUAGGAACACCGAGUCCAAUAUUGCCUCGAACACCGUUCUUGAGGCCCAAUAUAAAGCAUCAUGCUCAUCAUCACACUACAUGGAUCCGGAUUCGCUGCAUGAAAUUUCUGCAUAGUUCGAAGAUAUUUUUGGUGACGACCUCGAGCCUCAACAUUCGACACGAUCCAGAUCAUCCUCAUACCACCCGGAGUUCCAUCUCGAAGCACGUACACCCACCACUGAAGAUAUUUUUCCAUCGGCGCCUCCAGUCACGCAAUACCAAUUAACUCCCGAUUAUAGUGUAUUCGAUUAUUCUACCUUUCUAAGUACAUCGGACGAGACACCGGACGCCGAACCGAGCAAUUAUCAAAUGCCUUAGCAAGGUGCACGGCAU
RNAcentral lists this long non-coding RNA (431 nucleotides) under Gossypium barbadense (sea-island cotton). RNAcentral describes it as "long non-coding RNA (GBAR_LNC021757)". The record is from RNAcentral. Lineage: Eukaryota; Viridiplantae; Streptophyta; Magnoliopsida; Malvales; Malvaceae.